This 674-nucleotide ribosomal RNA is filed under the name Epibryaceae sp. A579. Its description in RNAcentral is "partial small subunit ribosomal RNA". It matches the Rfam family "Eukaryotic small subunit ribosomal RNA", at positions 63 to 450 of the family's 1831-position model. The record is from RNAcentral. Lineage: Eukaryota; Fungi; Ascomycota; Eurotiomycetes; Chaetothyriales; Epibryaceae.
CCAUAACCGGAAACGGUCCAACGAUUAAAAGACAGUGGCCCGUAGCUUUUAACUAAGCGACAGGAUAAGAUAUAAUCUGAUUGCCUGAGAGUCAUUUCCAGGCACCAAAUGCAUUAAAUCAGUCAUAAUUUAUUUGAUAGUACCUUUACCUGGAUAACCGUGGUAAUUCUAGAGCUAAUACAUGCUAAAAACCUCGACUUCGGAAGGGGUGUAUUUAUUAGAUAAAAAACCAAUGCCCUUCGGGGCUCCUUGGUGAUUCAUAAUAACUUAACGAAUCGCAUGGCCUUGCGCCGGCGAUGGUUCAUUCAAAUCUCUGCCCUAUCAACUUUCGAUUGUAAGAUAGAGGCUUACAAUGGUUUCAACGGGUAAAACAACGUCUUCGUUGCCCGUCAAACAAUAGCUUGACAUUCUUUUUGACUAAAGAUGUAAGUCAGGUUACGCCGUUGGUUCAGAGGACAUCCAAGUGAUCGAUUCUGAGGUGGUUCUUUUUGACCACUUAAACGCAUGCCAAGCGGUGGGUUCUAAGCAAAUAGCUGAGAACUUAAAGUACAUGCUGUCCUUUUCAGGCUGAGAAGUGUUAAACGAACGGGGAAUUAGGGUUCUAUUCCGGAGAGGGAGCCUGAGAAACGGCUACCACAUCCAAGGAAGGCAGCAGGCGCGCAAAUUACCCAAUC